UGUUCCUUCACCACUUGCUUGUUCUUGUUGAAAAUUUCCUAGAUGCAAUGCAAAGAAGAUAUGAACACAAUGCUAACUUGAUUAAGGUGUCAGGGAUGUGACACCCCCCAUGUAUCUCGGCCAACAGCUCAACCCCUUCCUCUUGGGGAAUGCACUUCAGUUUCACACUAUUCAGUCGUCUUCUGUAUAGGGCAUCGUCCACGAAUUGGUACAUGCUGGACUGACGGGCUACUCUUUCUGCUUCUUCCUAUCCUUCGGGCAGAUCCCCAGUCUAGAGGUAAUGGACUAUGUGCUACGCCC
Molecule: long non-coding RNA, 300 nt
Filed under: Hordeum vulgare
Lineage: Eukaryota; Viridiplantae; Streptophyta; Magnoliopsida; Poales; Poaceae
Description: long non-coding RNA (HVUL_LNC003856)
Source: RNAcentral